This 106-nucleotide transfer RNA is filed under the name Alphaproteobacteria bacterium. Its description in RNAcentral is "tRNA-OTHER". It matches the Rfam family "tRNA". From Rfam's summary of the family: Transfer RNA (tRNA) molecules are approximately 80 nucleotides in length. Their secondary structure includes four short double-helical elements and three loops (D, anti-codon, and T loops). Further hydrogen bonds mediate the characteristic L-shaped molecular structure. tRNAs have two regions of fundamental functional importance: the anti-codon, which is responsible for specific mRNA codon recognition, and the 3' end, to which the tRNAs corresponding amino acid is attached (by aminoacyl-tRNA synthetases). tRNAs cope with the degeneracy of the genetic code in two manners: having more than one tRNA (with a specific anti-codon) for a particular amino acid; and 'wobble' base-pairing, i.e. permitting non-standard base-pairing at the 3rd anti-codon position. The record is from RNAcentral. Lineage: Bacteria; Pseudomonadati; Pseudomonadota; Alphaproteobacteria.
UGCGGCGUAGCUUAAUCGGACAAAGCUCCUGCUUGUCGAAAUACGGUAACUCUCACAAGUCAACCGUAUGGGCAGGAAGAUGUGGGUUCAAGUCCCGCCGUCGCAC